RNAcentral lists this long non-coding RNA (463 nucleotides) under Diabrotica virgifera virgifera (western corn rootworm). RNAcentral describes it as "uncharacterized LOC126893409". Lineage: Eukaryota; Metazoa; Arthropoda; Insecta; Coleoptera; Chrysomelidae. The record is from RNAcentral.
AAAUGCAAUACAAUGUACAGGUUUUACUAGCGAAAUGAAAAUUUUCCUGUCCUGUCUGCUGUAAUCAUUUUAUAUCUGGAAAAUAGGAAAACCAGCCGACUUAAUCGAUAAUAACAAUCUCCAGAUUGGGUUCCUUCAAUAAAUAUGGGCUAUAAACACAAUGAAAUAAGUUCCCCAAAAUCUAAAAUGGAGUGGUAUCAAAGGAGAAUUAAAGGAAAAAAUAUUCAUAUUGAAAUUAUUUAUAAGGCACUGGACUGUCUUAAAUUCUACAAUAAUACUAGAAUCAGCUGAGAGAAGUGGUCUACAAAAAACCAGGAAGGAAACGGAAUAUAUGGCUACGAAAGGCAAAAGAAAGGUUUACAAAGCAAAUGUGACACAUUUUUUUGAAAUAUUUAGGAAUAUCAGUAAAUUGCAUUAAAAAAAUGUAUGAAAAGAUUUUGUUCAAUAAAAAUGUUUAUAUUUA